RNAcentral lists this microRNA precursor (84 nucleotides) under Bombyx mori (domestic silkworm). RNAcentral's name for it is "mir-2807 microRNA precursor family". It matches the Rfam family "mir-2807 microRNA precursor family". Lineage: Eukaryota; Metazoa; Arthropoda; Insecta; Lepidoptera; Bombycidae. The record is from Rfam by way of RNAcentral.
UUAAUUCAAAUUGAUAUGGAGUUAAAACGAUCGCGUACGUUUGCCGCUAGGGGCGCUGUUCCAACUAUAUACAAAUUUGAGUUA